UACGGAGGGGGCCAGCGUUGUUCGGAAUUAUUGGGCGUAAAGGGCGCGUAGGCGGUCGGGUAAGUCUGACGUGAAAUCCCUUGGCUCAACCAAGGAACUGCGUCUUAAACUGCCCGGCUUGAGUCCGGGAGAGGGUAGUGGAAUUCCCAGUGUAGCGGUGAAAUGCGUAGAUAUCGAGAGGAACACCAGUGGCGAAGGCGAGUCCCUGGACAACUCCUGACGCUGAGGCACGAAAGCUAGGGGAGCAAACAGG
RNAcentral lists this ribosomal RNA (253 nucleotides) under uncultured bacterium. Its description in RNAcentral is "partial 16S ribosomal RNA". It matches the Rfam family "Bacterial small subunit ribosomal RNA", at positions 524 to 776 of the family's 1533-position model. The record is from RNAcentral.